Long non-coding RNA from Prunus dulcis (almond), 288 nucleotides. RefSeq lists it as uncharacterized. The record is from RefSeq and is a predicted model, not a curated record. NCBI's taxonomy places the organism in Eukaryota, Viridiplantae, Streptophyta, Magnoliopsida, Rosales, Rosaceae. The transcript has 3 exons.
AUUUGAGAUUGAAGGGAAUGAGGAAGACACAGUUAACUUCACAUCAGGCGAGCACACACAGAUUCGCAUACAUCCUUCACCUCCUCAAGAUGAACAUAAAAAAGAUGUAAUGGCAACUGUGGAGAUAGUUAACCUUAUGGAGCUGCCACCCAUUGUACUACUUGGUGAUUUAUUCACAACUGGAAGUAGAGACAUAUAUUAUCUACAUCCUCUCCUAGACCUGUGGAUGAAAAACCCGACCUCCCCAUGCCUCUCUUUCUGAACAGACCUCCCCACCCCUGCCCCCAG